Non-coding RNA from Podarcis lilfordi (Lilford's wall lizard), 79 nucleotides. The record is from the annotation of a GenBank genome assembly. Lineage: Eukaryota; Metazoa; Chordata; Lepidosauria; Squamata; Lacertidae.
GCAUCAACCUUCUUAGCUCAGUUGGGAGAGCAUGAGACUCUUAUUCUGAAGGUUGCGAGUUUGAGCCCCAUGUUGGGCA